RNAcentral lists this ribosomal RNA (326 nucleotides) under uncultured Anoxybacillus sp. Its description in RNAcentral is "bacterial SSU rRNA". It matches the Rfam family "Bacterial small subunit ribosomal RNA", at positions 1054 to 1382 of the family's 1533-position model. The record is from RNAcentral. Lineage: Bacteria; Bacillati; Bacillota; Bacilli; Caryophanales; Anoxybacillaceae.
GUCAGCUCGUGUCGUGAGAUGUUGGUUAGUCCGCAACGAGCGCAACCCUCGACCUUAGUUGCCAGCAUUCAGUUGGGCACUCUAAGGUGGACUGCCGGCUAAAAGUCGGAGGAAGGUGGGGAUGACGUCAAAUCAUCAUGCCCCUUAUGACCUGGGCUACACACGUGCUACAAUGGGCGGUACAAAGGGUCGCGAACCCGCGAGGGGGAGGCCAAUCCCAAAAAGCCGCUCUCAGUUCGGAUUGCAGGCUGCAACUCGCCUGCAUGAAGCCGGAAUCGCUAGUAAUCGCGGAUCAGCAUGCCGCGGUGAAUACGUUCCCGGGCCUU